Molecule: ribosomal RNA, 400 nt
Filed under: uncultured bacterium
Lineage: Bacteria
Description: bacterial SSU rRNA
Rfam family: Bacterial small subunit ribosomal RNA
Source: RNAcentral
GGGGGAAUCUUGGACAAUGGGCGCAAGCCUGAUCCAGCCAUGCCGCGUGAGUGAAGAAGGCCUUCGGGUUGUAAAGCUCUUUUGUCAGGGACGAUAAUGACGGUACCUGAAGAAUAAGCCCCGGCAAACUUCGUGCCAGCAGCCGCGGUAAUACGAAGGGGGCUAGCGUUGUUCGGAAUUACUGGGCGUAAAGCGCACGUAGGCUGACAUUUAAGUCAGGGGUGAAAUCCCGAGGCUCAACCUCGGAACUGCCCUUGAUACUGGGUGUCUCGAGUCCGGAAGAGGUUAGUGGAAUUCCCAGUGUAGAGGUGAAAUUCGUAGAUAUUGGGAAGAACACCAGUGGCGAAGGCGGCUAACUGGUCCGGUACUGACGCUGAGGUGCGAAAGCGUGGGGAGCAAA